UAUUUACUACUUCUAAGCAAUUUUUUGUUGGUUUUAGCUUCUUUUGGGACAAAGUAGCUAUAAGUGUUGUCUAAACACUCCUAAUCCAUCUCUAACUGAUAUAAUUAGUCAAAUGCAUUGGAUCGUGAUACAUUUUGACCAUGAAAACACUAACAAAGUUAUUUAUUGCUUCUAA
Molecule: small RNA, 175 nt
Filed under: Arabidopsis thaliana (thale cress)
Lineage: Eukaryota; Viridiplantae; Streptophyta; Magnoliopsida; Brassicales; Brassicaceae
Description: ATSL036150
Source: RNAcentral